UAUCUUUUUCUCUCAGUACUUUCAGAAAUGUUAACAACGUGUAUGAGCUGGUCCUACCUACACCAUAUUUUAUAACCAAAAACGUUGCCUAAGAUUGUAGGUUUGGCAUAGUCAUGACUAUUGAUUGAGCGUUGUUCAAGUCAGUUCAGCCAGUUUUAAUAUCAAUUCUCUAGUUAACUGACGUCAAAGAUUAAAUCUUUUUAAAACAAAAUUAAGCCUGCAAAGGAAUAGCGGCGGAGUGGCUUAUUUCAAUGCUAAGAAAGCAGAAAGGUUUAAAGCCAGUCAACUUUCAGGAACAAAAAAUUUUAAAAACAAAAUAAUUAGCAGAUAUUUAAUCAAAUUUCAGUAUUUUUAUUGCUUUUUUCCGAUUUGUUUGAUUUUAAGUGGAAAUCCACCUUAACGGAAAUGGUUUUUAUAUUCUUAUGUGGUUAAGUUUUUCUGUGAUUGGUUAAUGUGCACGAAAUAUACUACGGAAAAACGAGUGUAAGUUGCACCUAUUUUUCAAUGCCAUACUCCAGAAAGGUUACACUUUAUAAUUUGCUGAAUAUCGAGCAAAAUGAAAAUUUGUAGAGAAAUUCAUUCCAAAAUUUUUUACUCAAAACAUUAUUUUUAUAAAACAGACAAACGUUCGCGGUAAUGGGAAACAAAGGUCAAACUUUUUUUUUUUAUUUUCUUCACUUAAAAUGAAGUAUGAUGUGACAUGACAGACAUGUUUUUAUUAUUUAUUUUUACUCUAAUGUUGACUAGAAGCAAUUUAAAGUUUCAAUGGUUAUGAUGUCAUAGUUGCGUUAGGCUAUACUCAUAGUUAGUAUGUAGGUCAGAUCAAACAAAAUUCAGUAAACCUAACAGAUUAUUGGAAACUUUGAUAUCUUACCCUGAGGCAUAUUUAUACAUAAUAAAUUGCUAACAUACAUGUAACAGUAGAAACCUCUGUUCUCCUAUAAAGAGCCUUUGAGACUCCUAUAGUGAGAUUUUUUAGUUCACAAAGAAACACAUUAAAAGAGACCUACGUUUAUCAAGAUCUAUGUUUAGAUUCAGGAUCUUUUUCAGACCAUUCGCGUUUUUCUUCUCCCUUUUUAUUAACUUAUUUUUAGGGGAUUACCGUAACAUAGCCCAUCAUCAACCCCGCGCACACGAUCCCCGAAAUGUAAAGGAAUGUCAAGAACCGUAAUAAUUUAAUAUUUGGAUUGAAACAUUUAAUAACUUAUGAAAUAUUUAUAGCCAUUUUUUGCUAAGGGCUGGCUUUCUUUUAGGGCUCAUUUUGAGAGCGCGCUACAAUGAAAUUGAUUACCCUUAGUAAAUAAUUAACGUAUAGCGUCAGAAAGAUUUUACACAAACAGAAAAACCUCUUCAAAAUUUGUUAUUGUUAACCUGACAUAUCCAACUUCAAGAAAUAACCAGGAAGGAGAUCUGGAAAUAAAAAAGAAAAGUUGUUUUUUCUAAAAAUACUAAAUUAGAGUUUUUAACUCUAAAUUUAAGUUUUUAAUUUUAAUACCUUUUUUAAUUGCGAUAGCGCGAUGGUUUGGUUUCGGCUCAGCCCUACGGCAUUCAAAAGUCACAUUAAUAAAGUUAUUUUAAGAUAACAAGUGCUAUCUUAAGAUAACUCUAUUAAUGUGAUUUCGGAAUGCGUGUAUAUUCACAUAAAUGUCUUGAUUGUAAGAUAACUCGAGUUAUUUUAAGAUAACAUAAAUGUGAUAAUUCUAUCUUUUCUAAUGCGCAUAUGUGUAAAUGAACGUUGCUGAGGGUGCGGAUACGUAAAGUAGCUCACAAAACAACAGCCUACAUGAAUUUCCGGCCGUAUUGACAUUUAUUUUGAUACGUCAUUUGUAUUGUCCUUGUGGUGUCGCGUAUGUGCUCUGCUGUAGAGUUCGCUCUGCGGUGGAGAACAAGAUGCAUUUUGUUAGUUUUGUGUUGUGAUGUAUUGUCCCGUGUUAAUUAUGUAAAGAGAAUAAUUGUAAUUUUGGUACUAUUUUUAGUUAAAUUUUCUGCACAUCUUGCACAUCUUUUUUCUGCGCAUUCAGUCUUCAACAUGUAAUGACAGAGUCGAACAUACAUUUUUGUAUUAAAUUUGCUGUUGAGUGAAAUUUUUCUUUCAUACAUCACAGGAGUUGUCCUGUAUCUCAGCAUCUGUUUAGUUGUUUUCUCUCACAUGUAGUUGGCUUGGCUUACGCCACUAUAUAUCUAGUUAAAUCUUGGCAUUCAUUUUUUUGCUUUGCUAAAUUGUAUUUUUGGUAAUAUAGAACAGACAGCCAAUUACUGAUAUGAAAAAUCGUAAGAAUAAUAUUAAACGAAGAUCCAUACAAUGUAAAUGUAAGUCCUUGCUUUUUUAUUGCUUUAGACUCCUCAAAUAGAAAUAUGUGAACACAUCUUUUAGAGUACUAUUAGACCUCUAUGUAUUGUCUGCAAAUUCCGGAGAAUUGCUUCAAUAUUUUAUUGUUUUGUGUUUUGUGGAGAAACUGAUUACAUUACAACGAACGAGUGAAUGAUCAGUGAAAAACAAUCUAAGAAAUGUAUGGAUGCUGAGUCGUUUACAACACAUGUAAAAAAGUGCGCCAAAUAUAAUUUUUUUAAAAAAAUCUGCCGAAUUUAUGGAUACUGUGUCGUUGAUAGCAAGCACAAACUGUGUAUUUGCUUUCCCCUCUUGAAAAUUUUAGCGAAUGUGUGCAUGAGAGUUCUGUAACCAUGGAACCAAUAUACGUCUUAUGUGCCUUUAACAGAACACUGUGUGGUGAAAAUCAAUAUAAGAAUUGCGUCAAUGCUGUGGCGGUUUCACGCGCUGUUAGUAAAAGUAUGGAUGCUGUUUCUAACAAAACAUUAUAAUCAAUGCAAAAUGUUAUUUUUACAUUUGUUAAUGCUCGGGAACUGCAAUCUUUCUAAAAAGAGUAUGAAUGUCAUGUCAAGCAAAAAAGGUGUACUAAGCUAUGUUGUGGAAAUCAUUGCAGCAAAUAUAAGGUCGUGUUCCCAUAAGUUCUUAAAAAGAUGAUGAAUUUAGUGCAGCUCUAUCGGUAGAGCGUUUGAAUCAUCUCCUCUACUUGAGAUUAUAAGUUCAAUGUCCCCCCAUUGUCUAGUUAGUUUGUCAUUUCAUAAAGAUUUUUGUAGCAAUGGGAGCUAAACACUGGAAACCUGGUCCAUCCUGAAAUCCAUUGAGCACAGACCACAUUAAAUAUAAAUCACCAUCAGUGGUUUGAGGCAGAAUUGUAAGAGAAUUUACAUACUGGAUGGUUCUUUUGUUAUGAAAGUUUUUUUGCAGUAACUUUAAUGACUAAGGUGUCUUUUUAUGCCACUACCUGUACACAUGAUAGAGCUUAAAAGUACUGCCAAACUCUUUUUCCAUGUAUUG
Long non-coding RNA from Hydractinia symbiolongicarpus, 3340 nucleotides. RefSeq lists it as uncharacterized. The record is from RefSeq and is a predicted model, not a curated record. The transcript is spliced from 2 exons. NCBI's taxonomy places the organism in Eukaryota, Metazoa, Cnidaria, Hydrozoa, Anthoathecata, Hydractiniidae.